UGGGGAAUAUUGCACAAUGGGCGCAAGCCUGAUGCAGCCAUGCCGCGUGUAUGAAGAAGGCCUUCGGGUUGUAAAGUACUUUCAGCGGGGAGGAAGGGAGUAAAGUUAAUACCUUUGCUCAUUGACGUUACCCGCAGAAGAAGCACCGGCUAACUCCGUGCCAGCAGCCGCGGUAAUACGGAGGGUGCAAGCGUUAAUCGGAAUUACUGGGCGUAAAGCGCACGCAGGCGGUUUGUUAAGUCAGAUGUGAAAUCCCCGGGCUCAACCUGGGAACGGCAUCUGAUACUGGGAAGCUUGAGUCUCGUAGAGGGGGGUAGAAUUCCAGGUGUAGCGGUGAAAUGCGUAGAGAUCUGGAGGAAUACCGGUGGCGAAGGCGGCCCCCUGGACGAAGACUGACGCUCAGGUGCGAAAGCGUGGGGAGCAAACAGG
Molecule: ribosomal RNA, 429 nt
Filed under: Chloroflexota bacterium
Lineage: Bacteria; Bacillati; Chloroflexota
Description: Chloroflexi bacterium partial 16S ribosomal RNA
Rfam family: Bacterial small subunit ribosomal RNA
Source: RNAcentral